AGCGAACGCUAGCGGCAGGCCUAACACAUGCAAGUCGAACGAACUCUUCGGAGUUAGUGGCGGACGGGUGAGUAACACGUGGGAACGUGCCUUUUGGUUCGGAAUAACUCAGGGAAACUUGUGCUAAUACCGAAUGUGCCCUUCGGGGGAAAGAUUUAUCGCCAUUAGAGCGGCCCGCGUCUGAUUAGCUAGUUGGUGAGGUAACGGCUCACCAAGGCGACGAUCAGUAGCUGGUCUGAGAGGAUGACCAGCCACACUGGGACUGAGACACGGCCCAGACUCCUACGGGAAGCAGCAGUGGGGAAUCUUGCGCAAUGGGCGAAAGCCUGACGCAGCCAUGCCGCGUGAAUGAUGAAGGUCUUAGGAUUGUAAAAUUCUUUCACCGGGGACGAUAAUGACGGUACCCGGAGAGGAAGCCCCGGCUAACUUCGUG
RNAcentral lists this ribosomal RNA (433 nucleotides) under uncultured bacterium. RNAcentral's name for it is "partial 16S ribosomal RNA". It matches the Rfam family "Bacterial small subunit ribosomal RNA", at positions 29 to 507 of the family's 1533-position model. The record is from RNAcentral.